GAGCCAGUGUGGUGUAAUGGUUUGAGUGCUGGAUUAUAGCUCUGGAGAUCAGGGUUUGAUUCCCUGCUGGACCA
Molecule: non-coding RNA, 74 nt
Organism: Phrynosoma platyrhinos (Desert horned lizard)
Lineage: Eukaryota; Metazoa; Chordata; Lepidosauria; Squamata; Phrynosomatidae
Source: the annotation of a GenBank genome assembly